RNAcentral lists this long non-coding RNA (554 nucleotides) under Homo sapiens (human). RNAcentral's name for it is "non-protein coding lnc-APOA5-1:1". The record is from RNAcentral. Lineage: Eukaryota; Metazoa; Chordata; Mammalia; Primates; Hominidae.
GCGGCCAGCGGGGCUGUGGAACCAGGGCCCCCGGGGGCUGCCGUCGCCCCGUCGCCCGCCCCGGCCCCGCCGCCUGCCCCUGAUCACCUGUUCCGGCCCAUCAGCGCCGAGGACGAGGAGCAGCAGCCCACCGAGAUCGAGUCGCUAUGCAUGAACUGUUACUGCAAUGUGAGGCGGGGGCGCGGCCGCGAGCGGCGGGUGGGUAGGGCUUGUGCCGGGACGAGCCGGGGGUCAGACCCAGCCAGGUGGGCCCGGCCGGGGACCCCGAGGAGCGCCCGGAGAUAGUAGGGCGGGGAAAGGGAGUUUCAUUGAUUUUUUUCCUUAGCUACUUUCUACUUCACCAGGGCAUGACGCGCCUCCUGCUCACCAAGAUUCCCUUCUUCAGAGAAAUAAUAGUGAGCUCCUUUUCCUGCGAGCACUGUGGCUGGAACAACACGGAGAUCCAGUCGGCAGGCAGGAUCCAGGACCAGGGAGUGCGCUACACUUUGUCUGUCAGGGCUCUGGAGGACAUGAACAGAGAAGUGGUGAAGACUGACUCUGCUGCCACAAGGAUU